This 1449-nucleotide ribosomal RNA is filed under the name Triticum aestivum (bread wheat). RNAcentral's name for it is "partial small subunit ribosomal RNA". The record is from RNAcentral. Lineage: Eukaryota; Viridiplantae; Streptophyta; Magnoliopsida; Poales; Poaceae.
AUGGCCACAGAAGAAACCCCAGAGGAAAAUCCAGAGGAUCUUCUACAGGAAACUGAUCAACCUGACGAUCACACAGCUCCUGUUACAAGUCCCACUGAGGAGGAGCAAUGCAUGCAAAUUUCCUCCCAAGCGGUGGGCAAGAAAACUGCUGCCAAGUCCUUCUCAUUACAAAUUCAAAUCAGUGGGAAGUGUGGAAUAGCACUAGUUGACACUGGAAGCUCACACACAUUCAUUGACAUGAAGUUCACCGUGAAAACCACCUGUCACACUGUCCCAACCCCUAUGGAAACUGUCCUUGUUGCGGGAGGAGGAACACUACAGUCGGGAUCCCAGGUAGUUGAAACACAAUACACCAUCCAAGGACACAAGUUCAAGAACUCCUUUAAAGUGUUACCACUGAAGGGAUAUGACAUUAUCUUGGGGUGCGAUUGGCUGGAAAAACAUAGCCCAAUCACAAUGGACUUUAUCACCAGGAAAAUGCAGGUCGUUUUAGACGGCAAAACCAAAAUCACUCUCAGAGAUAACAACAGGAAGGGCACGGUCCCUCUCAUCUCAGUACACCGAAUGGAGAAGCUUGCCUCCACUGACGUAGCCGGCUACUGCCUUUUCCCCUUGUCCAAAACCACCGAACAACAAGAACAACAAUGCAAUGAAGUGGAGGAAUUACUGAAGGAAUACAAUGAUGUUUUCCAAGAACCCAAAGGAAUGCCACCUAUCAGAGAAUGUGACCACUCCAUCCCCUUGAAGAAUAACUCUGAGCCCCCUAUGGUCAGACCUUAUCGGGUUCCCCACAAGAAAAAGAAUGAAAUGGAGCAACAAGUGCAAGAAUUGUUAGAUGCAUCCAUCAUUAGGCCUAGCACUAGCCCAUAUGCUGCUCCUUCCAUUCUGGUUAGGAAAAAGGAUGGUACCUGGUGGUUGUGCAUCGAUUACAGGAAGCUGAAUGCCCAAACUGUCAAGAACAAGUUCCCCAUCCCAGUUAUCGAGGAUCUCUUUGAUGAGCUGCAAGGAGCACAAUACUUCACAAAGAUCGACCUCAGGGCAGGGUACCACCAAGUGAGAAUGAAUACUGCUGAUAUCCACAAGACUGCGCUCAGAACAUACUUCGGCCACUUUGAGUACUUGGUUAUGCCUUUUGGGCUCACCAAUGCCCCAGCAACUUUCCAAGCCCUCAUGAACAAAGUGUUUACCAAGUACCUCCGAAAAUUUAUUCUUGUGUUCUUCGAUGAUAUCUUAGUGUACAACAAGACGUUGCAACAACACUUGAAACAUCUGAAAAUGGUCCUGGACAUCUUGAGAGCUGAGCAACUUUUUUCCAAAAGGAGCAAAUGCAUCUUUGCUGCCCCCCAGGUGGAGUAUUUGGGCCACAUAAUCUCGGGAAAAGGCGUAGAGACCGACCCACAAAAGGUUGAGGCAGUUUCCAAUUGGCCUCUACCUCAAAACAUCACUUAG